RNAcentral lists this ribosomal RNA (426 nucleotides) under uncultured bacterium. RNAcentral describes it as "bacterial SSU rRNA". It matches the Rfam family "Bacterial small subunit ribosomal RNA", at positions 30 to 403 of the family's 1533-position model. The record is from RNAcentral.
AUUGAACGCUGGCGGCAUGCCUUACACAUGCAAGUCGAACGUGAAGGCGGGGCAACCCGCAAGUAGAGUGGCGGACGGGUGAGUAAUACAUCGGAACGUGUCCAGUAAUGGGGGAUAACCUAGCGAAAGUUAGGCUAAUACCGCAUACGAUCUGCGGAUGAAAGCGGGGGAUGCGGCACUAAAGGCUUUUGGCGAAGGUGGCCAAAGGUGAGUCAAGAGCUUUUAGUGCNGCACCUCGCGUUAUUGGAGCGGCUGAUGUCUGAUUAGCUAGUUGGUGAGGUAAAGGCUUACCAAGGCGACGAUCAGUAGCUGGUCUGAGAGGACGGCCAGCCACACUGGGACUGAGACACGGCCCAGACUCCUACGGGAGGCAGCAGUGAGGAAUAUUGCGCAAUGGGCGAAAGCCUGACGCAGCGACGCCGCGGU